This 363-nucleotide ribosomal RNA is filed under the name uncultured bacterium. RNAcentral's name for it is "bacterial SSU rRNA". It matches the Rfam family "Bacterial small subunit ribosomal RNA", at positions 28 to 392 of the family's 1533-position model. The record is from RNAcentral.
GACGAACGCUGGCGGCGUGCCUAACACAUGCAAAGUCGAACGGGGUGAUCCUUCGGGGUCACUUAGUGGCGAACGGGUGAGUAACGCGUGAGAAACCUGCCUCUCAGUGGGGGACAACAGUUGGAAACGACUGCUAAUACCGCAUAAUGUAUCCGGAGGGCAUCCCCUGGAUACCAAAGCUUUAUGUGCUGAGAGAUGGUCUCGCGUCUGAUUAGCUAGUUGGCGGGGUAAACGGCCCACCAAGGCGACGAUCAGUAGCCGGUCUGAGAGGAUGAACGGCCACAUUGGGACUGAGAUACGGCCCAGACUCCUACGGGAGCAGCAGUGGGGAAUAUUGGGCAAUGGGCGAAAGCCUGACCCAGC